AGCAAGCUUCGAUACGCGCUUUACGGAAACGCCCCCUCCAUUACUCGACACACGCUUCGAAGCUUCGGCACAUCACGUAACAUCACUAAUAAGAUGCUUCUCGCAUACUUGCUAUUUGUUAGCCUAGCCUUAGCUCAGCUUUAACUGUACACCUAGGCGGCCUGUGCAAACUGCCUGAUCCUCCUCCCAGCCAGAGGCACUACACAUAGAGCUCGUGACGCUGCUGUUUGUCCUUGGCCUGUUGCCCUGUGGUUCCUGGCUGGUGGUCCGCUGUUACUGUGGUUAUCCGUUGUCAGCAGCCCACCUGUCACCCUGGUUGCUGGCUUUCUGCCUGCCGUCGUGGUCAGCGUGAACCUGCCCCUUGUCCAGUGUGGCUGGUUCGGACUGGUGACCAGCUUGGACGGAUUCUGCUGGUGCCACUCUGGGUGGCGUCUGCUGGCCUGGAUCCUUAAUUGAACGAUCGCUGCUUGAUUGGUUGUGGACUGAACGAUAAAUAUGAAAUGACUUAUGUAAUUUGAAUAUCUGUUUUACCUUGACAGGAAAGGCCAAUUCGUGGUGUUGGUGAUGGACUUUCCGGGUGGUGGUACUUUUUUGAUUUGUUGCACAAUUUUCUUUUGUUUUGCUGUUUUGUUUGCUGUGUUUCUUUUUAUUUAGGUCACUACCCUGAACUGCACUGCCAUCCUGUACUUGAGCCAUCACUGUUAUUUAAAUGUGUGAAUGGUUUUAACAUAGUAUAUUUUAUUGAUUAGAAUGAAAUGGUGUAAUAAAAUUAUUGAAUUUGG
Molecule: long non-coding RNA, 782 nt
Organism: Poeciliopsis prolifica (blackstripe livebearer)
Lineage: Eukaryota; Metazoa; Chordata; Actinopteri; Cyprinodontiformes; Poeciliidae
Exons: 2
Source: RefSeq, a predicted model, not a curated record